UACGUAGGGUGCGAGCGUUGUCCGGAAUUAUUGGGCGUAAAGAGCUCGUAGGCGGUUUGUCGCGUCGACUGUGAAAACCCGAGGCUUAACCUCGGGCCUGCAGUCGAUACGGGCAGACUAGAGUUCGGUAGGGGAGACUGGAAUUCCUGGUGUAGCGGUGAAAUGCGCAGAUAUCAGGAGGAACACCGGUGGCGAAGGCGGGUCUCUGGGACGGUACUGACGCUGAGACGCGAAAGCGUGGGGAGCAAACAGG
Molecule: ribosomal RNA, 253 nt
Filed under: uncultured bacterium
Lineage: Bacteria
Description: partial 16S ribosomal RNA
Rfam family: Bacterial small subunit ribosomal RNA
Source: RNAcentral